This 1151-nucleotide ribosomal RNA is filed under the name Salmonella enterica subsp. enterica serovar Infantis. Its description in RNAcentral is "partial 23S ribosomal RNA". It matches the Rfam family "Bacterial large subunit ribosomal RNA", at positions 711 to 1773 of the family's 2925-position model. Lineage: Bacteria; Pseudomonadati; Pseudomonadota; Gammaproteobacteria; Enterobacterales; Enterobacteriaceae. RNAcentral also lists the same sequence under 1 other name. The record is from RNAcentral.
AGACCCGAAACCCGGUGAUCUAGCCAUGGGCAGGUUGAAGGUUGGGUAACACUAACUGGAGGACCGAACCGACUAAUGUUGAAAAAUUAGCGGAUGACCUGUGGCUGGGGGUGAAAGGCCAAUCAAACCGGGAGAUAGCUGGUUCUCCCCGAAAGCUAUUUAGGUAGCGCCUCGUGAAUUCAUCUCCGGGGGUAGAGCACUGUUUCGGCUAGGGGGCCAUCCCGGCUUACCAACCCGAUGCAAACUGCGAAUACCGGAGAAUGUUAUCACGGGAGACACACGGCGGGUGCUAACGUCCGUCGUGAAGAGGGAAACAACCCAGACCGCCAGCUAAGGUCCCAAAGUCAUGGUUAAGUGGGAAACGAUGUGGGAAGGCCCAGACAGCCAGGAUGUUGGCUUAGAAGCAGCCAUCAUUUAAAGAAAGCGUAAUAGCUCACUGGUCGAGUCGGCCUGCGCGGAAGAUGUAACGGGGCUAAACCAUGCACCGAAGCUGCGGCAGCGAACGUAUCACUUAAAGCGAUUCAGCGGGUUACGAUUGACGGAGCGAAGCGACGUCAAAGCGUAUACAAAGUCGAGUCGGUUUAAGGAUACGUUCGUUGGGUAGGGGAGCGUUCUGUAAGCCUGUGAAGGUGUGUCGUGAGGCAUGCUGGAGGUAUCAGAAGUGCGAAUGCUGACAUAAGUAACGAUAAAGCGGGUGAAAAGCCCGCUCGCCGGAAGACCAAGGGUUCCUGUCCAACGUUAAUCGGGGCAGGGUGAGUCGACCCCUAAGGCGAGGCCGAAAGGCGUAGUCGAUGGGAAACGGGUUAAUAUUCCCGUACUUGGUGUUACUGCGAAGGGGGGACGGAGAAGGCUAUGUUGGCCGGGCGACGGUUGUCCCGGUUUAAGCGUGUAGGUGUGUGUUCCAGGUAAAUCCGGUUCACUUUAACACUGAGGCGUGAUGACGAGGCACUACGGUGCUGAAGCAACAAAUGCCCUGCUUCCAGGAAAAGCCUCUAAGCAUCAGGUAACAUCAAAUCGUACCCCAAACCGACACAGGUGGUCAGGUAGAGAAUACCAAGGCGCUUGAGAGAACUCGGGUGAAGGAACUAGGCAAAAUGGUGCCGUAACUUCGGGAGAAGGCACGCUGACAUGUAGGUGAAGUGAUUUACUCA